CCAGAAACUCUUCAUAGUUGUCUUGGCUGUUAGGCAUCACAACAAACCAAACCCUCCUGUUGCUCCCACAACUCCCCCUAGCACCAGCCCUACCUCCCCAUCCCCCAAAUCUCCAUCUCCUCAGUACCCUCAUCACCCUCCUGGGACCUCACCAUCACCAGCAUCAGUGGCUAACCCUCCAGCCACCUCACCAUCACCAGUAGUGGCUAGCCCUCCUGCCACCUCCCCAUCACCAGUGGGCUACCCUCCUGCCACCUCCCCAUCGCCAGUGGGCUACCCUCCUGCCACCUCACCAUCACCAGUGGGCUACCCUCCUGCCACCUCACCAUCACCAGUGGGAUACACUCCUGCCACCUCACCAUCCCCAUCAACAACAACAUCUCCAGCGCUAGCGCCAGGUCCAUCUUCAUCCCUUACACCAUUUCCUUCUCCACCCUCACCGCCCCCCGAGGGGCCCACACCGCCCUCCGAGGGGCCCACACCGGCCCCGUCCGCAGAGUCUGCGGGCCCCACACCACCGGGAACCGUUUCUCCGCCGCCCGGGACAGCGGACUCGACGGCUCCGAGACCGGCGGGGAGUGGAGCGUCGCAUAGUGUAACGGCUCCUUCGAGCGUGCUGGUGUCU
RNAcentral lists this long non-coding RNA (625 nucleotides) under Prunus persica (peach). Its description in RNAcentral is "long non-coding RNA (PPER_LNC004148)". The record is from RNAcentral. Lineage: Eukaryota; Viridiplantae; Streptophyta; Magnoliopsida; Rosales; Rosaceae.